RNAcentral lists this long non-coding RNA (1161 nucleotides) under Oryctolagus cuniculus (rabbit). RNAcentral's name for it is "lncRNA (ENSOCUG00000033586.1)". The record is from RNAcentral. Lineage: Eukaryota; Metazoa; Chordata; Mammalia; Lagomorpha; Leporidae.
GUGGCACCGGGCGCCACCGUGCACCUGCAGCUCAGCGGACUCGCUUGCCUGUCAACCCCUGUGGCGCUGGUGAGGCGUAGGGGGACCGGAGCGCUCACUUCUGUGCGCCCCCUCUUGGGCAAGCAGACCCUUCAGAGGGGAUCCCCUCUGUGCCAAGACCCUGCCUCGCGCGGCGUGUCAGUCAUCCGUCACCAAGCUACAAGUACCACACAACACAGCUGCUUAAAAUGGCGGGCUCUUCCCUCCCGAGGCUCCCGAGUUCAGGCGUCAGCGGGGCAGGGCGGGGGCGCUGGGGCCCAGGGUCGGGCUCACGUGUGCUCACGUGGCUGCUGGGAGGCCUGCCAUGCGUGGCAGGGGCGGGGAGGUGGCCUUUGUGGCACAGCUGCUCCCAGAGCGCCAAGAGACAAGCUGCUGUCUUUGAUCCUGGAGGUGGACCCCCUGGUCUCCACCAUAGAUGUGGGUCCUACAGGUCAACCCUGGGAAGCGUGGGAAGGGACCCCACGCGGUGUGAACACAGAAGCCGGGAGCCUGGCGCAGCGUGCCGGCCGCCCACCUGCCAGUCGGGAGCUCUCUGAAAGCAGCCCCGAGCUGUCACCCGCCGAGUGGCCGGCCGUGCUGCGCGGGGGCCCACGGAACACGCAGGAAGACGCCUUUGUUCUGCUAAGUAGGGAAAGGAUGUGGCAGGACACGUUGUGCAGCUGGAUGCCUUUUAUCCAGGAAACAUGUCAAAGCCGUUCCUGUGAUCGUAAUCCCGCACGCGCUUGUCCCGUCCAGCGUGGAACUGGCCGGCUGCCUGCCUCCCAUCUGUCUCCCCCCUCCGCCUCCCCGGUGGGGGAGUUCCACAGAUUCAGGAUCACGACCCCUGGAUCUGCCUUUGCGCAGCGACCCUGCCUGGCCCGUGGGCCUCAGCCCGGCCUGACACGGUCCCGGUGGUCCCUGCCCGGUGGUCCCUGCCCGAGGACGCUCUGCUGGGGCUCAGCUUCCGACGGUGGCUGGGCUCCCUGUCCGCAGCCUGGUCACAGAGUCACCGCGCGGCUGCAGCCACCGCACCAGGAUUUCCGUUUCGUCGGCUUUUGCCAAUCCCAGGACACCUGGUGUACCCAGAUCCUGGCUGCAGGUCCCCUCCCAGCUUGCAGCCCGUCUCUCAGGACUCGGCUGUAG